Molecule: ribosomal RNA, 210 nt
Filed under: uncultured bacterium
Lineage: Bacteria
Description: partial 16S ribosomal RNA
Rfam family: Bacterial small subunit ribosomal RNA
Source: RNAcentral
GAGUUUGAUCGUGGCUCAGAUUGAACGCUGGCGGCAGGCCUAACACAUGCAAGUCGAACGGUAACAGGAAGAAGCUUGCUUCUUUGCUGACGAGUGGCGGACGGGUGAGUAAUGUCUGGGAAACUGCCUGAUGGAGGGGGAUAACUACUGGAAACGGUAGCUAAUACCGCAUAACGUCGCAAGACCAAAGAGGGGGACCUUCGGGACCUC